AUAACGUGGACCUCACUAUAGUAACCGUUUUUUCCCGUUCCAUUCAGUCAUAUCUUUGAAUGAAACGUUCUUUGUGAUGAUGGUUACCAAGCACUGUGACUGGAGCCAAUCAUCAUUCCACUUUUAUGAUGAUAUUAUUAUCCAAUGAUGAAUUAUUAUUGAAUUCAAUAUAACUAACUGAACAUAGUAGAAGUAUUUCACAUUAUUUUAACUGAAAUAGGGAAUAUUUUCAUAUUAAAAAUAAAAUUUUGAAGAAUAUCACCAAAAAACAAACUGAAUUCUGAAAGUCAAUAUCAUAGUCAAUUUAUAAAAAUUUUUUCAAUUAAAGAAAGAUCACUUUUGAAUAAUAUAAUUCAUAAAAUAUACCGGUUGUUAUUUAACUGAAGUCAGCAUAAUUAUUGCCAUUUCAAAGCAAACACCGAACCCAACCUUUCACAUUUGAAACAUUUAUAAACAUUACACUCGAUAAAAACUCCCAAUUUCUUCCAGCAUAUUGCAAUUUCAAAUCAAAAUCCUAACCCCCUAACCUUCCUUUUCACCUUUAAAACAUCAACAACAUAACUCUACCUGGACCCUAGCCCCUUCUAGCAUAUUGUAAUUUCAAAGCAAACACUUAACCUACUAUUAUGAAACGUUAUUAAAUAUAACCUAUAUAAAACUUAACCCCUAACCCUUUCACAUUAAUUUAAUAGUUUGGUACUUAAGAUUCAUUCGACAUCUUCAGUACAAAACAUAAACAUGUGGUUUUUUUUCUAGAACUAAACAAAUAUUAUAUUUUAUGGAUAGUAAAAUGCGAGUUGAAUCUUGGCACUCAAUCAGCUGGUCGAUACACAAAGAAUACUUUUGAAUAACUAUUUGGUAACUGCGACCGUUACUGGUCGUUACUCUGUAUCUUUGACAAAGAGAAGCUUUUGUUGUUAGUCGUCAGACGACAGAACAGCUGAUAUCUAACCUCUAUUUCUCUAAGGCAGUAAGGCUCGCAACUCCAAAUGAAAAUUCUAGAUGGCAAGCACUUCCAAUGCACGCCCUAAUCCCCCAAAGAGGAGGCGUGAGGAGGAUGGGAACGUUGCCCCUCCUAAGAGAAGGUGCAUUGCACCUCAACAGGCCCCUCUUAGACGAUCUCAGAGGAUAAUACAAAGAAAUGCUGAGAGACUAGAGAGAGAGCAACAACAACAACAGCAGAUACAACAUCAACAACAACAACAACACAACAACAACAACACAACAACAACAACAACAAGAACAUCAACAACAACAACAACAACAGCAACCGGAACAGGAACCUGAUGUAUUGGAUUUAUAUUUGGAACUAUACUGGGCCAGGAUUGGCAAAGGGCCCUACUGGCCAUGCCAGAUAGUUAGGGACGAAGAUGGGAGAUUUUACAAGACAAAAAG
Molecule: unclassified non-coding RNA, 1395 nt
Filed under: Nilaparvata lugens (brown planthopper)
Lineage: Eukaryota; Metazoa; Arthropoda; Insecta; Hemiptera; Delphacidae
Description: putative uncharacterized protein DDB_G0294196, transcript variant X2
Source: RNAcentral